This 1138-nucleotide long non-coding RNA is filed under the name Salvia miltiorrhiza (redroot sage). Its description in RNAcentral is "long non-coding RNA (SMIL_LNC011739)". Lineage: Eukaryota; Viridiplantae; Streptophyta; Magnoliopsida; Lamiales; Lamiaceae. The record is from RNAcentral.
CUCCUAACAAUAUUAACUCAUCCACUAACAUGAUGGUCACAUCCAGAGUUUGGUAAAACGACGUAGCUGAUUUUCAUAUAACAUAAUAAACAAUUACUUACAAUCCCGAUCAGCUAUUUUCUUGUAUACAUCCAAACAAUAUAGAGCUCUACCUUUUGGUAUCUCACAAUACUUGAUAUAUGUUAAUGAUUAUGCUAGGAAUCCGAAAACUUAUCUGCAUAUGAUCGAAGAUCAAAUCUAAACUUCAGCAAACUAUCACAUGUUCUGCAGUAAGCAUGCAUCGACAUAGCUGGUGCGGGAAAAAAAGUCAGCUAGAACAUAAAUAUAUAUAAUCAAAAGAUUAUCAUUGAUUUACACGAUUAACAAUUCAAUAAAGAUUAAAUCUAUAUAACCAAUCAAGAAAAUAAAUCCAAAAGAAAGAAACAACAACUAAAUCUAACAUACAUUUGGAGGGGGAGGAAAUUUCAAUCUGCAAGACGGAGACAACACGGAUAAAAAAGAGAAUUACGGCGAUCUCAAAACACAUUUGGGAUAAUAAUAAAUAUUUUAAAAAUAAAUAAAUAAUAAAAUUAAGCUUACUUUGAACCAAAAUGAAGAGUAGAAGCCACAAAACAUCGUCAGUUGACUGUAAAACUCUUAUCAUUUGAACUAAUGAAUUUAUAGCUAAAAUCUAGAUUAUUAAGUUUCCAUUGUUAAUUUGUAUCUAAAAUUGGUUGAUUAUUGAUUGAAAGGUAAGUCAUAUAAUUGUAUAUAAUUUUAUUCUUUCCAAAAUUUGUUAUUUCUCUAAUCAAUCCAUAUUCACAAUAGUCAAAUAUAAUCUUACCUAAUAGAACACUUGCCAUGGCUAAUCAAGAACUGCUCUAGAGCCAAGUCAAUGAAGCCAUGUCCAACGGGACAACCAUUGACGGCGGCACCGACUUGGGGGUAGGGUGAGAAACGACGAGAGAGGAAGGGAGUGGCGCCGACUUGGGGCCGGACUGCGGCGAAUCGCAGCGGGAGGAGGCGGACUUUGGUGUGGAGACAGGGAAUUAAAUGAGAAUUGGAUUUGCGUGAGAGAAAAUUCAGAAAAUCGUAUAUGGUGGUUUACAGCAACUGUGCCAGGAGACAUGGUCGGAUCAGAGAAGAGAGAAUGGUACGG